GGAGAGGUGCUGGAGUGGCCGAACAGGACUGCCUGCUAAGCAGUUGUCGGGGCUUAAACCUCGACCGGGGGUUCGAAUCCCCCCCUCUCCGCCA
Molecule: transfer RNA, 94 nt
Filed under: Acidobacteriota bacterium
Lineage: Bacteria; Pseudomonadati; Acidobacteriota
Description: Acidobacteria bacterium (hot springs metagenome) tRNA-Ser
Rfam family: tRNA
About the family: Transfer RNA (tRNA) molecules are approximately 80 nucleotides in length. Their secondary structure includes four short double-helical elements and three loops (D, anti-codon, and T loops). Further hydrogen bonds mediate the characteristic L-shaped molecular structure. tRNAs have two regions of fundamental functional importance: the anti-codon, which is responsible for specific mRNA codon recognition, and the 3' end, to which the tRNAs corresponding amino acid is attached (by aminoacyl-tRNA synthetases). tRNAs cope with the degeneracy of the genetic code in two manners: having more than one tRNA (with a specific anti-codon) for a particular amino acid; and 'wobble' base-pairing, i.e. permitting non-standard base-pairing at the 3rd anti-codon position.
Source: RNAcentral